AAUCCAUAGGUUAAUGAGGCGAACCGGGGGAACUGAAACAUCUAAGUACCCCGAGGAAAAGAAAUCAACCGAGAUUCCCCCAGUAGCGGCGAGCGAACGGGGAGGAGCCCAGAGCCUGAAUCAGCAUGUGUGUUAGUGGAAGCGUCUGGAAAGGCGCGCGAUACAGGGUGACAGCCCCGUACACAAAAGCGCAUGUGCUGUGAGCUCGAUGAGUAGGGCGGGACACGUGGUAUCCUGUCUGAAUAUGGGGGGACCAUCCUCCAAGGCUAAAUACUCCUGACUGACCGAUAGUGAACCAGUACCGUGAGGGAAAGGCGAAAAGAACCCCGGCGAGGGGAGUGAAAAAGAACCUGAAACCGUGUACGUACAAGCAGUGGGAGCACAGGUUUACCUGUGUGACUGCGUACCUUUUGUAUAAUGGGUCAGCGACUUAUAUUCUGUAGCAAGGUUAACCGUAUAGGGGAGCCGUAGGGAAACCGAGUCUUAACCGGGCGUUAAGUUGCAGGGUAUAGACCCGAAACCCGGUGAUCUAGCCAUGGGC
This 541-nucleotide ribosomal RNA is filed under the name Salmonella enterica subsp. enterica serovar Bareilly. RNAcentral describes it as "partial 23S ribosomal RNA". It matches the Rfam family "Bacterial large subunit ribosomal RNA", at positions 161 to 741 of the family's 2925-position model. The record is from RNAcentral. Lineage: Bacteria; Pseudomonadati; Pseudomonadota; Gammaproteobacteria; Enterobacterales; Enterobacteriaceae.